CCUACGGGGGACAGCAGUGAGGAAUAUUGGUCAAUGGGCGCGAGCCUGAACCAGCCAAGUAGCGUGAAGGAUGAAUGCGCCACGGGUUGUAAACUUCUUUUGUCAAGGAAUAAAGGGAGGCACGUGUGCCGUUUUGAGUGUACUUGAUGAAAAAGGAUCGGCUAACUCCGUGCCAGUAGCCGCGGUAAUACGGAGGGGGCAAGCGUUAUCCGGAUUUAUUGGGUGUAAAGGGAGCGUAGACGGCCAGACAAGUCAGAAGUUAAAGCCCAGGGCCCAACCCUGGGCCUGCCUUUGAAACGGCCGGGCUGGAGAGGAGGAGAGGUACGCGGAAUGCCCGGUGUAGCGGUGAAAUGCAUAGAUAUUAGGAGGAACACCGAUUGCGAAGGCAGCUUACUGGCCUGUGACUGACGUUGAGGCUCGAAAGCGUGGGUAGCGAACAGGAUUAGAUACCCUAGUAGUC
This 460-nucleotide ribosomal RNA is filed under the name uncultured bacterium. RNAcentral's name for it is "partial 16S ribosomal RNA". It matches the Rfam family "Bacterial small subunit ribosomal RNA", at positions 338 to 795 of the family's 1533-position model. The record is from RNAcentral.